Molecule: long non-coding RNA, 318 nt
Organism: Mercurialis annua (annual mercury)
Lineage: Eukaryota; Viridiplantae; Streptophyta; Magnoliopsida; Malpighiales; Euphorbiaceae
Exons: 3
Source: RefSeq, a predicted model, not a curated record
AUUAUCUUUUAAUUUAUAUGUCAUCCUUCUGACUUCUUUGUGGGUGUGUGUAUGAACUCAGAGGACUGAAAAAAUUGAGUUUGCUUUGGUAGAUCCAGGAUUCAUGGAUGAGGCCUUUUUGCAAGGACAAAUAUUCAUGAAGGAGAAAUGGUCCUCGAAUACCGCGGUGAACAAGUUAGAUGUAGCAUUGCAGAUCUCCGAGAAGCACGUUACCAUUCAGAAGGAAAAGAUUGCUAUCUUUUCAAGAUAAGCGAAGAGGUAGUGGUGGAUGCCACCGACAAAGGAAACAUAGCACGCCUGAUAAACCAUUCAGCAACU